UCUGGUUCUUUAACCUUGUGGUAACACCUAAUUCCAUAUCGAACUUAGAAGUGAAAUACAUUGUAGGAUAACUAAAUUUAAGGGACACCUUUUGUAAAAUUUUUCCUUGAGCCAGAU
This 117-nucleotide ribosomal RNA is filed under the name Cryptoglena skujai. Lineage: Eukaryota; Euglenozoa; Euglenophyceae; Euglenales; Euglenaceae. The record is from RNAcentral.